Molecule: long non-coding RNA, 1773 nt
Organism: Canis lupus familiaris (dog)
Lineage: Eukaryota; Metazoa; Chordata; Mammalia; Carnivora; Canidae
Exons: 4
Source: RefSeq, a predicted model, not a curated record
GGGGAGCCUGUGCUGCAGGAACCCCCUUUUAACAAUAAACCUUUUUCCUGUUUCCCAUUUUCCUUGCUGUUGUAACGACAGACUGGCAGUUCAGUUGCUCAAGUAACACGGACUUGGGUGUUUCAGCUCCUGAACACAUUUCAGUACAAAGAGGCUGUAAAACGUUCCCUCACCAGUAGAACACAUGUUAAAAUUAACUUGCAUUAAAAAAAAAAAUACAGAAAGCUGAUUGGUGGUGGCCAGGGGGACGGAGUGGGGGAAGGUGGGCGAAAUGGGCAAAGGAGGUCAAAAAGUACAAACUUAGAAUUACAAACACGUCCUGGUGAUGUACAGUACGGUGACUAAGGCCGAGACCGUAAGGUAGACUUGAAAGCUGUCAAGAAAAUAAACACAAAAAAAUUUUAUUAUGAUUAUGUGAGGUGAUGGAUCGACGGAUGUAAUGCCCAUUUUGCGAUAUACACAUGUCCUGUUGUACACCUAAACCUAACACAACGUUAAAUGUCAGUUACAUCUCCGUAAAACUGGGAAAAAUACCUUGAGUGGCCUUAAUAUUGAUAAUUAGAAGUUGCAGACUUAAGUCAGUUAUAUUGCCUUUUUUUAAAAAAACAUCUUCCUCAGGCUCUGAAAACUCAUUAAUGUGAUUUCAUAUUUCAUACUGAACAUUUACUGGAACAAAAGUUCAUUUCCCCUUUUCUAAUUCUGGUCUUCUGCUUAGGUGCCUCAGAGAAGCCAUUUGUGACAGAAAUCAUCCUCUAAAAAUAACUCAGCUUCAUUUUCCCCACAGAAAUUUACACAUUGACUCAAAAUGGGAGUUGCUUCUAUAUCAAGUUCAUCCUUUCACCAUCGGGAGGUUUGCUGUUUUCAUAUUCAUGAUGCAGUGUGGCAUAUUCCUCUGUCCUGGGCAUUUCCUGAGAACUGGCAGCUGGAUUCAGAAGCUUCAUUGAACUCAGGUUUCAUCACUUGGGAUGCUGAUAUGAUUCAGGACCUGUGGCUGUUGGUGGUUUGUCCGUACUUACAUGCAUUUUGAAGCCUUCGUGGAUGCCCUGUUUACUAGUGUCAGUGUAAAUGUUGUCCAUGGGUUAUUUUAUUGGGUAGCUCUGUGUUUUUAUAUUGAGAUGUGGAUUCAAAAUUACCUUGCCACUGUAGUCAUUUUCCUAGAAUCCACCAAAUUGAUUUAAAAUAUUCAAGUAGAAUCCACAUUUUCACAGGAAUUGGAAAUGGUAAAUCGCUAAUAACUACCUAAGCUGGGAUAAUUUUAUUAUAAUUUCAGCAAAGUUUAGGAAACGUUUUCUCAAUGUUAUAAAAUCCUCUGAGAGCUUUUAGAGAUGUGUAUUUUUCAGUCUACGUCUGGCACAAUUAAAGAGAAAAUUUAUGUGUCCUCAAACCAGGGUUCCAGGUAUUAAUGGGAAAACCAACUUCAUAAUAAACUUAGGUGCAAAGCAGGUUAUAAGCUGAAAAUAAUAAAAGUAAUCAUUCUUAUUGUUGUAUAAGAGGAGGUAUGUUUACACAGUGUUUUCUCAUAAAUUAUCUCAUUUCAUCCUCAAAAUAACCUUAGCGAGGUAUUGUUAUUAUGAGUCCUACUCCUCAGAAGAAAUUGAGCUUAGAGGACUUAAAUGACUUAAGAUUUUAGCAGGGAGGACUCCACGUGUUAAAGGUUUACUCUUCCACCAAGGGCUCAGCUUUGGAGAGAUUCCUGCAUAGCUCAUGGCAGGCAGUGAAACUUGCCCAGCCAGCUCUAUCAAUCACAUAUAUACAUAUUUUUAAGAUUUAUUU